This 1224-nucleotide ribosomal RNA is filed under the name metagenome. RNAcentral describes it as "SSU rRNA". It matches the Rfam family "Eukaryotic small subunit ribosomal RNA", at positions 493 to 1774 of the family's 1831-position model. The record is from RNAcentral.
CUCAUGGUUUCACGGUAUUGCAAUGAGAACAAUUUAAAACCCUUAGCGAGAAUCAAGUGGAGGACAAGUCUGGUGCCAGCACCCGCGGUAAUUCCAGCUCCACUAGCGUAUAUUAAAGUUGUUGCAGUUAAAAAGCUCGUAGUUGAACCUCUGUCUGGGGCUAGUUUUGGCUUUGGUCAGGCUAGUUCUAGGCAUCCGCCUACAAGACUUAGAGGGCAUUCAGUUGUUCACUAGGAGGAGUAGGCAUUUUACUUUGAAAAAAUUAGAGUGUUUAAGGCAGGCAAUCGCCCGCAUAUAUUAGCAUGGAAUAAUAGAAUAGGACACUUUUCCAUUUCGUUGGUUAUUGGAAUCGUGUAAUGAUUAAUAGGGACAGUUGUGGGCAUUUGUAUUUAAUUGUCAGAGGUGAAAUUCUUGGAUUUAUUAAAGACAAACUAACGCGAAAGCAUUUGCCAAGGAUGUUUUCAUUAAUCAAGAACGAAAGUUAGGGGAUCAAAGACGAUCAGAUACCGUCCUAGUCUUAACUAUAAACUAUUCCGACUCAAUGUUUGACUGGCCUAUAUAACCAGUUGAGCGUUGUAUGAGAAAUCAAAGUCUUUAGGUUCUGGGGGGAGUAUGGUUGCAAAGCUGAAACUUAAAGGAAUUGACGGAAGAGCACAACCAGGAGUGGAUUCUGCGGCUUAAUUUGACUCAACACGGGGAAACUUACCAGGUUAAAACAAUAGUGGGAUUGACAGUUUGAGAGCGCUUUCUUGAUUGGUUGGGUGGUGGUGCAUGGCCGUUCUUAGUUGGUGGAGUGAUUUGUCUGCUUAAUUGCGUUAACGAACGAGACCUUAACCUGCUUACUAGACUGGCGAUCAUCAAUCGUUAGCUCUUCUUAGAGGGACUUUGGUUGUUUUAACUCCAAGGAAGUUUGAGGCAAUAACAGGUCUGUGAUGCCCUUAGAUAUCCUGGGCCGCACGCGUCAUACAAUGACUAGUUCAGAAAGUUUUCUCCUGACCCGAAAGGGGAUGGGUAAUCUUGAUAAUACUAGUCGUGUUAGGGAUCGAUCUUUGCAAUUAUAGAUCUUGAACGAGGAAUUCCUAGUAAGUGCGGUUCAUCAGACCGUACUGAUUACGUCCCUGCUCUUUGUACACACCGCCCGUCGCUUCUACCGAGUGGGUGGUCCGGUGAGAUAAUUGAACUUCGCAGGUAACUGAGAGGAAAGAUUAUCAAACCUAUCCACCU